Molecule: small nucleolar RNA, 114 nt
Filed under: Balaenoptera musculus (blue whale)
Lineage: Eukaryota; Metazoa; Chordata; Mammalia; Artiodactyla; Balaenopteridae
Description: Small nucleolar RNA SNORA70 (ENSBMSG00010005196.1)
Rfam family: Small nucleolar RNA SNORA70
About the family: snoRNA U70 seems to be exclusive to mammals and is a member of the H/ACA class of snoRNA which contain H (ANANNA) and ACA box motifs. H/ACA box snoRNAs are involved in the conversion of uridines to pseudouridines (5-ribosyluracil) a constituent of structural RNAs (transfer, ribosomal, small nuclear, and small nucleolar).
Source: Rfam by way of RNAcentral
CUGUAAAAAAAAAAGAUAACUAAGGCACUAAAAAAAAAAAAAAAAGCAGCUUCCCUGGUAGUGCAUGCAGCCUGUUGCUUGUAUGGGUUGCCCUUAAGGACCUUCGAGACAGCC